UACGUAGGGGGCGAGCGUUGUCCGGAUUUAUUGGGCGUAAAGAGCUCGUAGGCGGUUUGGCAAGUCGGGUGUGAAAACUCUGGGCUCAACUCGGAGACGCCACUCGAUACUGCCAUGACUUGAGUCCGGUAGGGUGGUGCGGAAUUCCUGGUGUAGCGGUGAAAUGCGCAGAUAUCAGGAGGAACACCAGUAGCGAAGGCGGUUCUCUGGGCCGGAGCCGACGCUCAGGAGCGAAAGCGUGGGGAGCAAACAGG
This 254-nucleotide unclassified non-coding RNA is filed under the name uncultured Acidimicrobiia bacterium. Its description in RNAcentral is "contains 16S-23S intergenic spacer region". It matches the Rfam family "Bacterial small subunit ribosomal RNA", at positions 524 to 776 of the family's 1533-position model. Lineage: Bacteria; Bacillati; Actinomycetota; Acidimicrobiia. The record is from RNAcentral.